RNAcentral lists this ribosomal RNA (359 nucleotides) under uncultured Streptococcus sp. RNAcentral's name for it is "bacterial SSU rRNA". It matches the Rfam family "Bacterial small subunit ribosomal RNA", at positions 1021 to 1382 of the family's 1533-position model. The record is from RNAcentral. Lineage: Bacteria; Bacillati; Bacillota; Bacilli; Lactobacillales; Streptococcaceae.
CGGUACAUCGGUGACAGGUGGUGCAUGGUUGUCGUCAGCUCGUGUCGUGAGAUGUUGGGUUAAGUCCCGCAACGAGCGCAACCCCUAUUGUUAGUUGCCAUCAUUCAGUUGGGCACUCUAGCGAGACUGCCGGUAAUAAACCGGAGGAAGGUGGGAUGACGUCAAAUCAUCAUGCCCCUUAUGACCUGGGCUACACACGUGCUACAAUGGUUGGUACAGCGAGUUGCGAGUCGGUGACGGCGAGCUAAUCUCUUAAAGCCAAUCUCAGUUCGGAUUGUAGGCUGCAACUCGCCUACAUGAAGUCGGAAUCGCCAGUAAUCGCGGAUCAGCACGCCGCGGUGAAUACGUUCCCGGGCCUU